RNAcentral lists this transfer RNA (72 nucleotides) under Salmo salar (Atlantic salmon). It matches the Rfam family "tRNA". Rfam says of the family: Transfer RNA (tRNA) molecules are approximately 80 nucleotides in length. Their secondary structure includes four short double-helical elements and three loops (D, anti-codon, and T loops). Further hydrogen bonds mediate the characteristic L-shaped molecular structure. tRNAs have two regions of fundamental functional importance: the anti-codon, which is responsible for specific mRNA codon recognition, and the 3' end, to which the tRNAs corresponding amino acid is attached (by aminoacyl-tRNA synthetases). tRNAs cope with the degeneracy of the genetic code in two manners: having more than one tRNA (with a specific anti-codon) for a particular amino acid; and 'wobble' base-pairing, i.e. permitting non-standard base-pairing at the 3rd anti-codon position. The record is from Rfam by way of RNAcentral. Lineage: Eukaryota; Metazoa; Chordata; Actinopteri; Salmoniformes; Salmonidae.
UCCCGUGUGACUCAAUUGGUAGAGCAUGGCGCUUGCAACGCCAGGGUUGUGGGUCCAAUUCCCACAAGGGAC